Cymbomonas tetramitiformis is the source of this 73-nucleotide non-coding RNA. The record is from the annotation of a GenBank genome assembly. NCBI's taxonomy places the organism in Eukaryota, Viridiplantae, Chlorophyta, Pyramimonadophyceae, Pyramimonadales, Pyramimonadaceae.
ACUCUCAUAGCUUAAUUGGUAAAGCAGACUAUCAAACGAUAGUCCGACGUGGGUUCAACUCCCACUGAGAGUA